Molecule: transfer RNA, 72 nt
Organism: Ovis aries (sheep)
Lineage: Eukaryota; Metazoa; Chordata; Mammalia; Artiodactyla; Bovidae
Rfam family: tRNA
About the family: Transfer RNA (tRNA) molecules are approximately 80 nucleotides in length. Their secondary structure includes four short double-helical elements and three loops (D, anti-codon, and T loops).
Source: Rfam
UCCCUGGUGGCUUAAUAGGUAAAGAAUCUGCCUGCAAUGCAGGAGACCUGAGUUCGAUCCCUGGGUUGGGAA